RNAcentral lists this non-coding RNA (708 nucleotides) under Fabaeformiscandona kushiroensis. The record is from RNAcentral. Lineage: Eukaryota; Metazoa; Arthropoda; Ostracoda; Podocopida; Candonidae.
AUUAGAUUUUAAGUACAAAAGUUUGAAGUUUUUCUUUGAAUAUAAGUAGUUCGUAAUUUAAAAUACUAUUUUUGACAAUAAGAAAAUAUAUUUUUUUUUAUAAAUAAAGUAUUUAAAAAAAUUAUUAAUCUUUGAGAGUAGGAGGUAGUUAAUGAAUGAAGGUCCAGGUAAUGGCGUGCCAGCACCUGCGGUUAUACGAGUGGGCCAACUGAAAUAAUUUUAAUAAAUUAUUAUAGGAAGUCGGUGAAAUGUGGAUAUGAAAGUGGUAAAAAUUCAAAAUUUAAACCAGGAUUAGAUACCCUGUUAUUUUUGUUAUUUGUAAAAUAUUAGUAAAAUAAAUUUGUUGUUUUUGGCGGUUUUUUGUUUGUUUCAGAGGAAUUUGUCCCGUUAAUGAUAAUACCCGAUAAGGUAGCCUUAAUUAAAAAUUUGUAUAUCGCUGUUUUAAGAGAAUAUUAAAAAAUAAAUUUUUGUAAAGAAAGUGUUAAAUUCAAGUCAAGAUGCAGUUAAUAUUGAGGGGGAGAUGAAUUACAAUUAAAAAUUUAAAACGAAAUUAUUUAUUGAAAAAUAUAAUAAGGUGGAUUUGAUAGUAAAUUUAUAUUAGGAUGCUUUAUUGAAUAAUAAACUAAAAAAUGUACAUAUCGCCCGUCACUUCCAUUAGUGUUGGAAUAAGUCGUAACAAAGUAAAGAAGUUGGAAAAGUUCUUUAGAU